UGCAACAACUGUGCUACAAAUGGAGCC
RNAcentral lists this non-coding RNA (27 nucleotides) under Homo sapiens (human). Lineage: Eukaryota; Metazoa; Chordata; Mammalia; Primates; Hominidae. The record is from RNAcentral.